Molecule: ribosomal RNA, 498 nt
Filed under: uncultured bacterium
Lineage: Bacteria
Description: partial 16S ribosomal RNA
Rfam family: Bacterial small subunit ribosomal RNA
Source: RNAcentral
AUUGAACGCUGGCGGCAUGCCUUACACACGCAAGUCGAACGGUAACAGGUCUUCGGAUACUGACGAGUGGCGAACGGGUGAGUAAUACAUCGGAACGUGCCUAGUAGUGGGGGAUAACUACUCGAAAGAGUGGCUAAUACCGCAUGAGAUCUACGGAUGAGAGCAGGGGAUCGCAAGACCUUGUGCUACUAGAGCGGCCGAUGGCAGAUUAGGUAGUUGGUGGGAUAAAAGCUUACCAAGCCGACGAUCUGUAGCUGGUCUGAGAGGACGAUCAGCCACACUGGGACUGAGAAACGGCCCAGACUCCUACGGGAGGCAGCAGUGGGGAAUUUUGGACAAUGGGCGCAAGCCUGAUCCAGCAAUGCCGCGUGCAGGAUGAAGGCCUUCGGGUUGUAAACUGCUUUUGUACGGAACGAAAAGCCCCGGGUUAAUACCCUGGGGUCAUGACGGUACCGUAAGAAUAAGCACCGGCUAACUACGUGCCAGCCGCCGCCGUAA